AUGGCCUUCAUACAGGCUAUUCAUAUGAAUCCAGGGCACGGCAAAACAAGCUAUGCACGCAACUCCAGUUUUCAGAAUGCUGAGCAGAACAGGAUGAAGCCUCUGAUAGACGCGGCAAUCACUGACUUAUGCAGCAACACCAACACCUUGUUGCAUGGAAAGAUGAUGAUCGUGGAUGUGGGCUGCUCCUCUGGCCCAAAUGCGGUAGCACUGAUAUCAACUGCCAUUGACGCCAUCCAUGGUCACUACCUUCAGAUAAACCAACCACCACCGGAAGUGUGUGUGCUACUAAACGGCUUGCCUGACAACGACUUCAACAUGGUGGUGAAGAACUUGGUCACGCUUCGUCAAAGCAAGAAGACUAUUGUUGUGACUGGUGUCGCACCGGGGUCAUUUUACGAGCGAUUGUUCACUAGUGACUCCUUGCAUCUUGUCUGCUCGUCCAACAGCUUGCAUUGGCUCUCAAAGGCUCCUGAAGUUUUAACAAGGAACCACAUCCCGGUAUACGACAUUGAUGAACACGCUAGGCGUGAAAGGCUCCCUGUGGUCCGUGAGGCCUAUGCACAACAAUUCAGGAAAGAUUUCUCACUUUUCUUGGAGCUGAGAGCCAAGGAAUUGGUCUCAGGAGGCCGAAUGGUUAUUUCCCUGGUAGGGACGUGUUCUAACGCAAUUGCCUCCAAAUUCAUUAUUUUCCCGGGAAUUGUAGCUCAGAUCCUGAGUGUCCUGGUCGCAGAGGGUGUGAUCGACAAAGCAAAGUUUGAUUCUUUCUACGUGCCAUUGUAUGGACCUUCCAGCGAAGAGCUGAGGGAGAUCAUUGAGGCAGAAGGCUCUUUUUCGAUCAGGGAGAUGCGGGUGCACGACCCUAGAACAUACAUGACCACCACCCUGAGCACCCCAACCAGGUUUGUGAACAAUCUAAGAGCCUUAUUUGAGCCGAUAAUAGUCCAGCAUUUCGGAAAGGUUAUGGAUGAAUUUGCGAUGGCCGCGGAGCUGUAUUGGAGCCUAGAUGGGAACUUGCAAGAGGAGCGUGCCAGAACAUCUCGAACUAUGCUAGCUGUAUCCCUCGCAAAGGCAUGA
Molecule: ribosomal RNA, 1077 nt
Filed under: Triticum aestivum (bread wheat)
Lineage: Eukaryota; Viridiplantae; Streptophyta; Magnoliopsida; Poales; Poaceae
Description: partial small subunit ribosomal RNA
Source: RNAcentral